Molecule: ribosomal RNA, 253 nt
Filed under: uncultured bacterium
Lineage: Bacteria
Description: partial 16S ribosomal RNA
Rfam family: Bacterial small subunit ribosomal RNA
Source: RNAcentral
UACGAAGGGGGCUAGCGUUGCUCGGAAUCACUGGGCGUAAAGGGCGCGUAGGCGGCGUUUUAAGUCGGGGGUGAAAGCCUGUGGCUCAACCACAGAAUUGCCCUCGAUACUGGGACGCUUGAGUGUGGUAGAGGUUGGUGGAACUGCGAGUGUAGAGGUGAAAUUCGUAGAUAUUCGCAAGAACACCGGUGGCGAAGGCGGCCAACUGGACCAUCACUGACGCUGAGGCGCGAAAGCGUGGGGAGCAAACAGG